Small nuclear RNA from Sorex fumeus (smoky shrew), 159 nucleotides. RefSeq annotates it as U1 spliceosomal RNA. The record is from RefSeq and is a predicted model, not a curated record. The transcript has a single exon. NCBI's taxonomy places the organism in Eukaryota, Metazoa, Chordata, Mammalia, Eulipotyphla, Soricidae.
AUACUUAAUUGGCUGGGGGAAUCCAUGGUCACGAAGGGGAUGUUCCCAGGGCAAAGCUUAUCCAUUCCACUCUGGAGGUGCUGACUGCUGCACUUCCUCAAAGGUGGGAAAAUAGGCAGCAGAGUUUGUAGUAGGGGACUGUGUUCAUGCUCUCCUCUG